Molecule: ribosomal RNA, 479 nt
Filed under: uncultured bacterium
Lineage: Bacteria
Description: partial 16S ribosomal RNA
Rfam family: Bacterial small subunit ribosomal RNA
Source: RNAcentral
GACGAACGCUGGCGGCGUGCUUAACACAUGCAAGUCGAACGAUGAAGAAAAGAAUUGAAGCUUCGGCAGAAAUUCAUUUCGGAUUAGUGGCAGACGGGUGAGUAACGCGUGAGCAACCUACCUCUUACAAAGGGAUAGCCUCGGGAAACCGGGAUUAAUACCAUAUAACAUUGCGACGAAGCAUUUCGAUGCAAUCAAAGCUACGGCGGUAAGAGAUGGGCUCGCGUCCCAUUAACCAGAUGGUGAGGUAACGGCUCACCAUAGUAACGAUGGGUAACCGGCCUGAGAGGGUGAACGGUCACACUGGAACUGAGACACGGUCCAGACUCCUACGGGAGGCAGCAGUGGGGAAUAUUGCACAAUGGAGGGAACUCUGAUGCAGCGACGCCGCGUGAGUGAUGAAGGAAUUCGUUUCGUAAAACUCUGUUCUAUGGGAAGAAAGGACUGUACCAUAGGAGAAAGCUCCGGCUAAAUACGUG